AGAGUUUGAUCCUGGCUCAGGACGAACGCUGGCGGCGUGCUUAACACAUGCAAGUCGAGCGGAAAGGCCCUUCGGGGUACUCGAGCGGCGAACGGGUGAGUAACACGUGAGCAAUCUGCCCUUAGCUUCAGGAUAGCUCCGGGAAACCGGAAUUAAUACCGGAUAUGACUAUGGCCGACAUCAGCCAUGGUGGAAAGUUUUUCGGCUAGGGAUGAGCUCGCGGCCUAUCAGCUAGUUGGUGGGGUAAUGGCCUACCAAGGCGACGACGGGUAGCCGGCCUGAGAGGGCGACCGGCCACACUGGGACUGAGACACGGCCCAGACUCCUACGGGAGGCAGCAGUGGGGAAUAUUGCGCAAUGGGCGAAAGCCUGACGCAGCGACGCCGCGUGGGGGAUGAAGGCCUUCGGGUUGUAAACCCCUUUCAGCAGGGACGAAGCGAAAGUGACGGUACCUGCAGAAGAAGCGCCGGCUAACUACGUGCCAGCAGCCGCGGUAACACGUAGGGCGCAAGCGUUGUCCGGAAUUAUUGGGCGUAAAGAGCUCGUAGGCGGUCUGCUACGUCCGCUGUGAAAACCUAGGGCUUAACCCUGGGCUUGCAGUAGAUACGGGCAGACUAGAGGUAGGUAGGGGAGAAUGGAAUUCCCGGUGUAGCGGUGAAAUGCGCAGAUAUCGGGAGGAACACCGGUGGCGAAGGCGGUUCUCUGGGCCUUACCUGACGCUGAGGAGCGAAAGCGUGGGGAGCAAACAGGAUUAGAUACCCUAGUAGUCC
Molecule: ribosomal RNA, 770 nt
Filed under: uncultured bacterium
Lineage: Bacteria
Description: bacterial SSU rRNA
Rfam family: Bacterial small subunit ribosomal RNA
Source: RNAcentral